This 599-nucleotide long non-coding RNA is filed under the name Rattus norvegicus (Norway rat). RNAcentral describes it as "long non-coding RNA NONRATT021341". Lineage: Eukaryota; Metazoa; Chordata; Mammalia; Rodentia; Muridae. The record is from RNAcentral.
CCCAUCAGUCUUGCGACCUAGUAGGUACUCACUAAAUAAGUUCAGACUUGGCGAGUCUGGAUGCUCUGACCUUUCUAAACUCUGAGUUGGUUGGCUCCCCGAGUACUGGUUAAGUUGCUAGCAAAGUCCUGCAUCUUUCACCACAAUCCUCUUUCCCUCUUGGUGUGAGAACAGGGCUGGUAGAGUAGGCUUUUGGUCUGCACAGUGUGGUGUGGGAGGAAAGAAGAAUUUUUCUGUACUUGUUUUUCUUCUUAGACACGUGUGUGUGUGUGUGUGUGUGUGUGUGUGUGUGUGUGUGUGUGUGUGUGUGUGUGUGUGUACAUGUUUGAGUGCAGGUAGAUGCCAGAACUUGGUGUCAGAGUCAUUCUUGACCACUCUUCUACCUUCUUCAGAAAGACACGUUCGCUCGGUUAAAUUCAGAAUUUGGCAAAAUGGCCAGUCUUGCUCUGGGGAUCCCCUGCCUCCUAGGCUGGAAUUGCAGAUGGCAGCCAUUGCCACCUAGCAUUUAUGUUCCUGAACAUCUAUGCUCCAGUCUUUUUCAUUUGUCAUGCUGGAGCAUCUGUCUCUCAGCCCUCCUAUUCUAAAAAAAAAAAAAAAAA